GGGCCCGCACAAGCGGCGGAGCAUGUGGAUUAAUUCGAUGCAACGCGAAGAACCUUACCUGGGUUUGACAUGCACAGGACGUGCCUAGAGAUAGGUAUUCCCUUGUGGCCUGUGUGCAGGUGGUGCAUGGCUGUCGUCAGCUCGUGUCGUGAGAUGUUGGGUUAAGUCCCGCAACGAGCGCAACCCUUGUCUCAUGUUGCCAGCGCGUGAUGGCGGGGACUCGUGAGAGACUGCCGGGGUCAACUCGGAGGAAGGUGGGGAUGACGUCAAGUCAUCAUGCCCCUUAUGUCCAGGGCUUCACACAUGCUACAAUGGCCGGUACAAAGGGCUGCGAUGCCGUGAGGUGGAGCGAAUCCUUUCAAAGCCGGUCUCAGUUCGGAUCGGGGUCUGCAACUCGACCCCGUGAAGUCGGAGUCGCUAGUAAUCGCAGAUCAGCAACGCUGCGGUGAAUACGUUCCCGGGCCUU
RNAcentral lists this ribosomal RNA (466 nucleotides) under uncultured bacterium. RNAcentral's name for it is "bacterial SSU rRNA". It matches the Rfam family "Bacterial small subunit ribosomal RNA", at positions 917 to 1382 of the family's 1533-position model. The record is from RNAcentral.